CCUACGGGAGGCAGCAGUGGGGAAUAUUGCACAAUGGGGGAAACCCUGAUGCAGCGACGCCGCGUGAGUGAAGAAGGGUUUCGGCGCGUAAAGCUCUGUCAGCGGGGAAGAAACACGGUUCGCGAGAGCCGCGGACGGUACCCGACCAAGAAGCCCCGGCUAACUACGUGCCAGCAUCCGCGGUAAUACGUAGGGGGCAAGCGUUAUCCGGAUUCACUGGGUGUAAAGGGAGCGUAGACGGCGGGACAAGUCUGGAGUGAAAGGCCGGGGCCCAACCCCGUGACUGCUCUGGAAACUGCCUGGCUGGAGUACAGGAGUGGUAAGUGGAAUUCCUAGUGGAGCGGUGAAAUGCGUAGAUAUUAGGAGGAACACCAGUGGCGAAAGCGGCUCUCUGGUCUGUAACUGACGCUGAGGUUCGAAAGCGUGGGUAGCAAACAGGAUUAGAUACCCGGGUAGUC
RNAcentral lists this ribosomal RNA (458 nucleotides) under uncultured bacterium. Its description in RNAcentral is "partial 16S ribosomal RNA". It matches the Rfam family "Bacterial small subunit ribosomal RNA", at positions 338 to 795 of the family's 1533-position model. The record is from RNAcentral.